AGCGAACGCUGGCGGCAGGCCUAACACAUGCAAGUCGAACGAACUCUUCGGUGUUUGUGGCGGACGGGUGAGUAACACGAGGGAACGUGCCUUUUGGUUCGGUAUAACUCAGGGCAACUUGUGCCAAUACCGAAUGUGCCCUUCGGGGGAAAGAUUUAUCGCCAUUAGAGCGUCCCGCGUCUGAUUAGCUAGUUGGUGAGGUAACGGCUCACCCAGGCUGUGUUCAGUAGCUGGUCUGAGAGGAGGACCAGCCACACUGGGUCCGAGACACGGCUCAGACUCCUAGGAAAGGCAGCAGUGGGGAAUCUUGCGCGAUGGGCGAAAGCCGGACGCAGCCGUGCCGCGAAAAUCAUGAAGGUCUUAGGAUUGUAAGUUUCUUUCGCAAGGGACGAAAGUGACGGUACCCGGAGAAGAAGCCCCGGCUAACUACGUG
Molecule: ribosomal RNA, 433 nt
Filed under: uncultured bacterium
Lineage: Bacteria
Description: partial 16S ribosomal RNA
Rfam family: Bacterial small subunit ribosomal RNA
Source: RNAcentral